CACACACUCUCUGAGUCCAUCUAUUGGCAGGGUUUACCUCCAGACCCAUACACUCUCUGAGUCCAUCUAUUGGCAGGGUUUACCUCCAGACCCACACACUCUCUGAGUCCAUCUAUUGGCAGGGUUUACCUCCAGACCCACACACUCUCUGAGUCCAUCUAUUGGCAGGGUUUACCUCCAGACCCACACACUCUCUGAGUCCAUCUAUUGGCAGGGUUUACCUCCAGACCCACACACUCUCUGAGUCCAUCUAUUGACAGGGUUUACCUCCAGACCCACACACUCGCUGAGUCCAUCUAUUGGCAGGGUUUACCUCCAGACCCACACAUGAUGUUUAUGGUGCUGUCAAAGUGACCAUGUGGUCCAGUAGAUGGAGUGGUUGUGGUGGUAUAAAGGCCCAUAGCUACACAGACUGGACACAUUAAUCAGUGUCCAAUUUACACAGCACCAUCCAGAGGAGAAGAUGGGUUCUGAACUUCUGAAUGCAAACAUAAAGGGCAUCUGUUAGGCAUUGGGUUUAACAGACCUAGGGCUAGGCUAGACGAAGGGUUUAACAGACCUAGGGCUAGGCUAGACGAAGGGUUUAACAGACCUAGGGCUAGGCUAGACGAAGGGUUUACCAGACCUAGGUUUAGAGGAAGGGAUCCCCAUGACAACAUCAACUGAAUUACAAUAUGAACAUCUAAAAUGGUGGGUAGCCUGGAGAGGAGGAGGAGGGGGGGUGAAUGGAGAAAUUAAUGAACAGGGUAGAGAGAGCCCAUCCCACCCUCACCAGGGCCUCUCGUCUCUGAAGUCCGCGCCCGCCCCGUUUCUCUCUCUCUCCUCUCCCUGCCUGAUGCUGCCAGCCAGCAGGGAAACUAGGUCACUGAACUCUGUCUGCUCUCUGUUUUUUUGUAUAUAAAUUAAAGCCAAAAGGCUGAACUCUCUCACUCCCUCUCUAGCCGGUCAGCGGUCGCCACAAAGCUUUUCACCAGAGGGUUAGAGUAAAAAACACACAAGCAGGCACACACAAACAGGCACACACAAACAGGCACACACACACACAAACAGGCACACACACACAAACAGGCACAAACAAACAGGCACACACAUACACAAACAGGCACACACACACACAAACAGGCACACACACACACACAAACAGGCACACACACACAAACAGGCAUAUACACACACAAACAGACAGGCACACACAAACAGGCACGCAUGCAGACAGACAGGGUAAAACACUAAAACAUGCAUGUGGCACUCACACACACAGUAAACAAACCCAGAUAUCCAGUAUAAUCCUCUCUGGCUAAAUAUGUUUGGGGUUUGUAAGGAGAGGGUUAAAAUAAGUAAUGUUGUGCAGGAGGCUGCAGUGCAGGAGGCUGCAGUGCAGGAGGCUGCAGUGCAGGAGGCUGCAUGCAGUGCAGGAGGCUGCAUGCAGUGCAGGAGGCUGCAUGCAGUGCAGGAGGCUGCAUGCAGUGCAGGAGGCUGCAGUGCAGGAGGCUGCAGUGCUGUCUCUGACAAGACAAGGGAGGAUUUGUGCUGUGCAGAUUCACUGCACAUUUCUAUUUCUGCCUCGGCCACUCUUAAUCACUGUGGUCACACACACACACGGAGAGUGCUCCACACAUGGACACACUCUCUAGCCUCCUCUUUGGUGGCCAGCAUUUCUAUCUCCCUCCAGGCAGGCAUGGUAGAAGCAAACCACCUCCAUGUCAGUGGACCAACCUCCAGUGUGAUUUCAGAGUCAGAUGAUGUCACCGGUAACAGGUGUUAAUAAGUAGGCUAGGUUUCCCUGGCAACAGUGGAAUCCUCAAACAUGACUGUUCUCCCCAGUCCAAUCCCCUCUGUCCUUUCAUCCCUUCAUCUCUCUCUCCUCCUCUGUCUCUCUUGCUCAUUGAAGCCAGAGAGAGAUAGAGGAGUGUUCUGGUAGCGUGGUCCCAGAUCUGUUUGUUCAGUCUGGCGAAUUCAUGACAAUGACAAUAGGAGUUGGCUAGACAGCACAAAUGGAUCUGGGACCAGGCUAGGGUUCUAGGCUGCUGGGUGGAGAAAGCUGAAAUUGACACGGAUCCUAUUCCAGGUUCCACAUAUUUCAAUAUAAAAUAAGCUGUUUGAAUCAUUAACCCUUUGGGCACGUUCUGUCAUGUAAUGUUCUGCACUUUUGUCUUCCCCAGGAGUCUAUAUUAUAGGGGAUGUGCCAAUUGCCAACAGUUGAAAAUGUCAAAUGUAUAAGUCAACUGAUUCUCAGUGGGUUGAUAUGGUUCUAUAAUUUGCUGGUUUUGAGGAUCAAUAGCAAUAACUUUUAUGUUGGAUUUAUGUUUUCUUUUUUAGAAUGAACCCCUAUCUGUCAUAGUUGAAAAGAAGCGGUACUUUUUACCCGAAAGGGUUAAAAACAAGAAGCUAAUUGACGCCAAUGAAUAAUGAAGCUAUAACGAGAGUCACAGUAUGUGCUGAACACAGGAACAUCUGGGGCACUAAAUUGUGAUAGCUAGCAAUAUUAGUGCCACUUACAAGGGAUGCCAUUCAUUGACUGAAGUGCCACAGCAGUGCACAAAGGGUUAAUUCAAGACUAAGGCCACCAGAGGCCUGUAUCCAAGUUAUUUUUUGCACAUUUUUUGAGAUAUUUUAAAUGUCAGUAUUUUAAAACAUAUUCCAAGUGCCUUUUAUUAUAAGUGAAAAUAUAGAAGAUAUAAAAGUAUAUGAAAAAUGAAAUAAAUAUAUAUAUAUAUGAAUAUAUAUUUUUUCCUGGGAUCGUGUUCUCGAGGUUCUUGAACAUGCUUCAUUUUAGAGUUGUAAAAGUCUCCCAUUGGUACAACAUAGCUGUGUGCUUCUGUUUUAGAGGAAUUUUAUUACGAUAAUGUCAAUGAAAGAAAAUGUUUAAUAAAGUCGCAUUUGAU
Long non-coding RNA from Oncorhynchus tshawytscha (Chinook salmon), 2885 nucleotides. The record is from Ensembl. NCBI's taxonomy places the organism in Eukaryota, Metazoa, Chordata, Actinopteri, Salmoniformes, Salmonidae.